Molecule: long non-coding RNA, 464 nt
Organism: Xyrauchen texanus (razorback sucker)
Lineage: Eukaryota; Metazoa; Chordata; Actinopteri; Cypriniformes; Catostomidae
Exons: 3
Source: RefSeq, a predicted model, not a curated record
GCGACGGAAAAUCUGGCUGAUGCAAACUUUCUAAAGGAGCAGAGAAAUGUCUGAGAAACAGACCAAGAGAAAAAGGUCAGACGAAUAUAAACUGAAAAUAAGGAUUAUGAUAUGUCGAGGGCUAGGAGCCGCGUCACUAUCGGCGAGGAUUUUCAGCGGAGGAGAGACCGAAGUUGAAGUUGCUGUUUUUCUUCUCGAUAGCUAAACUGUCUUGGGAUGGAAGGUAAUAAAACACCAACAUAAAACCUGCAACAACCCACAAUAAGUGAUGUAUUUGCCCGGACAACGAAAUACCCGACCAGAAGCCCAUGAUGGAGGGAACGGACAGAUGAAAGCUGCCUCAGAGUUAUCCAGCUGCAGUUGUCUCUGCAGUCUUUCCUUAUUCAGCUUCUCAUUCUGACACUGAAGCUGUUGCACAUUCUGUAGGACCUGACCACUCAGACCCAGAGUCCAGUCUUCCCCGG